CCUACGGGCGGCUGCAGUGGGGAAUCUUCCGCAAUGGGCGCAAGCCUGACGGAGCAACGCCGCGUGGGUGAAGAAGGCCUUCGGGUUGUAAAGCCCUGUCUUAUGGGAAGAAGUCAGUGACGGUACCAUAGGAGGAAGCCACGGCUAACUACGUGCCAGCAGCCGCGGUAAUACGUAGGUGGCGAGCGUUGUCCGGAAUUACUGGGCGUAAAGGGCGCGCAGGCGGGUUUUUAAGUCAGAUGUGUAAUCUACAGGCUCAACCUGUAGUUUGGAUCUGAUACUGGAAAUCUUGAGUGCAGGAGAGGACAGUGGAAUUCCUAGUGUAGCGGUGAAAUGCGUAGAUAUUAGGAGGAACACCAGUGGCGAAGGCGGCUGUCUGGCCUGCAACUGACGCUGAGGCGCGAAAGCGUGGGUAGCGAACAGGCUUAGAUACCCCAGUAGUC
RNAcentral lists this ribosomal RNA (443 nucleotides) under uncultured Bacillota bacterium. RNAcentral describes it as "bacterial SSU rRNA". It matches the Rfam family "Bacterial small subunit ribosomal RNA", at positions 338 to 795 of the family's 1533-position model. The record is from RNAcentral. Lineage: Bacteria; Bacillati; Bacillota.